GAUGAACGCUAGCGGCAGGCUUAAUACAUGCAAGUCGAACGCCUGCAGCAAUGCAGGAGUGGCAGACGGGUGAGUAACACGUGGGAAUCUACCCAGUAGCUCGGAAUAACCGCGGGAAACUGCGGCUAAUACCGGAUAAGCCCCGAGGGGGAAAGGAGCAAUCCACUAUUGGAGGAGCCCGCGUCUGAUUAGCUAGUUGGUGGGGUAAUGGCCUACCAAGGCGAUGAUCAGUAGCUGGUUUGAGAGAACGACCAGCCACACUGGGACUGAGACACGGCCCAGACUCCUACGGGAGGCAGCAGUGGGGAAUAUUGGACAAUGGGGGAAACCCUGAUCCAGCAAUGCCGCGUGGGUGAUGAAGGCCUUCGGGUUGUAAAGCCCUUUUGUCGGGGACGAUGAUGACGGUACCCGACGAAUAAGCCCCGGCUAACUUCGUGCCAGCAGCCGCGGUAA
This 453-nucleotide ribosomal RNA is filed under the name uncultured bacterium. RNAcentral describes it as "partial 16S ribosomal RNA". It matches the Rfam family "Bacterial small subunit ribosomal RNA", at positions 28 to 523 of the family's 1533-position model. The record is from RNAcentral.